CUAAAGCUCGCGUACCCGAUUGCCGCCAACAUUGCACAUCAAAACUUUGAACCGAAAUACACAUCUGUUAGACUACUUACGGUCUUUUGAAAGGAAGAAUUUUAAUUUUAAACCACUUAAAAUGUAACACUUGUUGGUAAAAUAAAUCCUAAGGUUUUAAUAAGGAGUAUGACAUUUAAUAGAAAAACACAAAUUUCAGUGCUAGCAGGAGGGGAAAGACAACACUGCGCAUCCAAUGGAGACCAUAUGUUUUGAAAAGUGUUCUGCUAUCGGCUUUGCAUGAACCUGAUUUCCUUCGAUUUUCUGAAAUUAUUUGACUUGUCACACUGCCGAAAGACCACCCAUGAGCUCUAGAGAGUUGACAUUAUGUAUCUUAUCAGAAGAAUGGAUUGUCCAUUAUCAAAUUCUUACGAAAAUUUCCUUGGCCCGAUUCUUAACCUUCUCAGACAAAUCACCCAGCACUCUCCUUCUCUUCUUCAGUUGUUUGUAGCCUUCUUUCAAAACUGUGUGGAAUCACAGUCCGAAGUUUGUUUCCAAAAGAUAGACAUGCAUAUUUCUUGAGGGAACAAUAAAGAAGUAUUGUAGAGUGGCAAGGAAUAGCAUCAUAUAGAGAGUGCUGAUGCAGUUGUGACAUUAGCCAAUGAACUUCUCUGAGCUGAGCAGCCUUUAAUUAAGUCAGCAACUAUCACAAGUGUCAACGAAUCCUGCAAAUUUCAACUUUCACACUCUGUCCAGGCAAACAUGUUGUUAAUGCAGUUCUAGAUGAGGAGCAGAAUAAGAAGAGGAAUGCAUGUUGUUUAGUUUGGUGUCAAAUUUCGUUUACAGAUCAGUUAAGUUUACAUCAUACAUACAUACAACUAGCUUCUUAAAAUUUACAAGUAUGGCUUUGUGCUACUAAACAUGCCUCUGCGUCACAAGAACUUCUUUGGAUAACAUGUUACAGCACCUGAGAAUUUUGUUUCACCAAUCCCAAUUUAAUUUGUUUACUUGAAAUUGAUCUUAUUUUUUUAUGUUGUUUUAGCCCAGACACUUGCGGUCAGAAUCUACUAUAGCCCUCAUGCACUCCUGCGGGCUACUUCUGCCUGCUCCAACCCCUCAACUCACCUAGAAGGCAUAUUCCUGAAUGUAUAUAAGGAUAUGAUUCCUGAAUGUUUGAUCUCUAUUGUAACGACCAAUUUCAUAUGACUCCUGUUUUGUCUGUUUACAGCACCCACUGGGCCCCCUACUUCGUUGAUGAACAUGGUGACAGUUCAGCAUUUUAUAAAGAUGUUUGAUGUUGAAAAAUAUGUAAAUUAUUAUUUUUCUUGUGAAUUAAAUUUUCUUUCUGAGCAAACGUAAAA
Frankliniella occidentalis (western flower thrips) is the source of this 1340-nucleotide long non-coding RNA. RefSeq lists it as uncharacterized. The record is from RefSeq and is a predicted model, not a curated record. NCBI's taxonomy places the organism in Eukaryota, Metazoa, Arthropoda, Insecta, Thysanoptera, Thripidae. The transcript has 3 exons.